UGGAACAUUUCCACACUGAGACAAACACCAGCAGCACUUUAAUUGUUUGCUCUACUCUUCCCUAGAGAACAUUACGGUCUCCCGUGUCCAAAAGGAAGAUAUAAAAUCCGUGACAUUCCUCAAAAGAAACAUUUCCUUCAUCCAGGAAUAUAAACCAAAUAUUUCCCUAGUAGGUCCUCGUCAAAGACCACUCAGCAGCUUCUAGGCUUUCUCUGCCUGGAUUUCCGAACAUGAACCACAGCUGAAAAUAGGAGGAAACAGCUACAUAUGAGCACAUAGCCAGGAUACGAUGCAUCCCACUCACCCCUCUGCAGUGAUUAUAGAUGGAACUGAAGAUGAUGCACUUAGACCAACCUUUACAAAGCCAAAUACAGGUGAGGUCAGUGCAACCCUCCUUUCUGAACCCCCAGGCUCUGCUGUAACCAAUUAAUAUCCUAUCCUGAAUGAGUCAGCUUAGAUUAUUAUAUAUUGUUAAGGAACAUAGACAUUUCUGGUCUGGCUGUGCUUUUAUCCAUUUAGCAUUGAUAUUUACAGGACUAUUUAACUGACCUGCUAGCGGUUUCGUUAUCAAAUGUCCUUCUGCAAUCCUUAUAUUUCCCGGAAAUGUAAAGGUGAGCAAGAGAGAUCUGCCCUGCCUCGAACUUAUACUGGCAUCAGCAGAUGCUAACUUUGGCAAAGUUAAGUUACAUGAUGCACUUCUGGAAAGGUAAAAUUAAGACCCGAAAUUAAUUUGAUAGAGGACUGAAUCAAAUUCAGUUGGUUUUACGUGAAAAAUAAAGUGGGGGAAAAUGCUUGGAAAAUCUAACAGUAUUUGUGCUCAGAUGCUUAAAAACAA
Pezoporus flaviventris is the source of this 835-nucleotide long non-coding RNA. RefSeq lists it as uncharacterized. Lineage: Eukaryota; Metazoa; Chordata; Aves; Psittaciformes; Psittacidae. The transcript has 3 exons. The record is from RefSeq and is a predicted model, not a curated record.